RNAcentral lists this ribosomal RNA (599 nucleotides) under uncultured bacterium. RNAcentral describes it as "bacterial SSU rRNA". It matches the Rfam family "Bacterial small subunit ribosomal RNA", at positions 62 to 671 of the family's 1533-position model. The record is from RNAcentral.
UCGAACGAGGACCCUUGUACUUGUACAGGGAUCUCCUAGUGGCGAACGGGUGAGUAACGCGUUGGUGACCUGCCCCGAAGAGAGGGACAACAGUUCGAAAGGACUGCUAAUACCUCAUGUGAUCGCAAGGGUUAAAGGCCUUGCGAUGAAAGGAGCAAUCCGCUUCGGGAGGGGCCUGCGUCCCAUCAGCUUGUUGGUAGGGUAAUGGCCUACCAAGGCUCAGACGGGUAGGGGACCUGAGAGGGUGACCCCCCACACUGGAACUGAAACACGGUCCAGACACCUACGGGUGGCAGCAGUAGGGAAUAUUGCGCAAUGGGCGAAAGCCUGACGCAGCAACGCCGCGUGCACGAUGAAGGUCUUCGGAUUGUAAAGUGCUUUUAUGAGGGAAGAGAAAGGACUGUACCUCAUGAAUAAGGAUCGGCUAACUACGUGCCAGCAGCCGCGGUAACACGUAGGAUCCGAGCGUUAUCCGUAUUUACUGGGCGUAAAGCGCGUGCAGGUGGUUCGGUAAGUUGGAUGUUAAAUCUCCCGGCUCAACUGGGAGCUGUCGUUCAAAACUGCCAGACUAGAGGACGGUAGAGGGAGGUGGAAUUCCG